UUCCCAGUCCCUAGUAGCGAUCCUCUCCCUAAUAGGACAUUCCCCCCUUCUCCUUUUUAUUGGGAAGUGGACCCCUCCAUCAGGGAUAGCCUUGUGACCCGCUUUCAGCAGUCGGUCGGAAGCGGUUCAGCCACAUUUCCCCGUCACACCACGAAAGUCGGCUGUACCAGAAGUGCGUGGGCUAACUCCUCGGAGAGGCAGCGUACCAAGGUGUGGUCCGUAACUGAGAGAAGUCGUAACAAUGUAGCCGUACGUGAACUUGCGGCUGGACACUCCUAAUCUAGAGCAUCGCAGAUUG
RNAcentral lists this ribosomal RNA (298 nucleotides) under uncultured Syntrophobacter sp. RNAcentral's name for it is "partial 16S ribosomal RNA". The stretch from base 137 to 268 matches the Rfam family "Bacterial small subunit ribosomal RNA", at positions 1390 to 1520 of the family's 1533-position model. Lineage: Bacteria; Pseudomonadati; Thermodesulfobacteriota; Syntrophobacteria; Syntrophobacterales; Syntrophobacteraceae. The record is from RNAcentral.